RNAcentral lists this ribosomal RNA (1092 nucleotides) under Listeria monocytogenes. RNAcentral describes it as "partial 23S ribosomal RNA". It matches the Rfam family "Bacterial large subunit ribosomal RNA", at positions 351 to 1444 of the family's 2925-position model. Lineage: Bacteria; Bacillati; Bacillota; Bacilli; Caryophanales; Listeriaceae. The record is from RNAcentral.
CCCGCCAAAGACGGUAACAGCCCGGUAGUUGAAAUAGCUUUCCCUCCAGAGUGGAUCCUGAGUACGGCGGAACACGUGAAAUUCCGUCGGAAUCCGGGAGGACCAUCUCCCAAGGCUAAAUACUCCCUAGUGACCGAUAGUGAACCAGUACCGUGAGGGAAAGGUGAAAAGCACCCCGGAAGGGGAGUGAAACAGUUCCUGAAACCGUGUGCCUACAAGUAGUUAGAGCCCGUUAAUGGGUGAUAGCGUGCCUUUUGUAGAAUGAACCGGCGAGUUACGAUUUGUUGCAAGGUUAAGCGGAAAAAGCGGAGCCGUAGCGAAAGCGAGUCUGAAUAGGGCGCAUAAGUAACAGGUCGUAGACCCGAAACCAGGUGAUCUACCCAUGUCCAGGAUGAAGGUAAGGUAAUACUUACUGGAGGUCCGAACCCACGCACGUUGAAAAGUGCGGGGAUGAGGUGUGGGUAGCGGAGAAAUUCCAAUCGAACUUGGAGAUAGCUGGUUCUCUCCGAAAUAGCUUUAGGGCUAGCCUCGAGGUAAAGAGUCAUGGAGGUAGAGCACUGUUUGGACUAGGGGCCCUUCUCGGGUUACCGAAUUCAGAUAAACUCCGAAUGCCAUGUACUUAUACUCGGGAGUCAGACUGCGAGUGAUAAGAUCCGUAGUCGAAAGGGAAACAGCCCAGACCACCAGUUAAGGUCCCCAAAUAUAUGUUAAGUGGAAAAGGAUGUGGGGUUGCUUAGACAACCAGGAUGUUGGCUUAGAAGCAGCCACCAUUGAAAGAGUGCGUAAUAGCUCACUGGUCGAGUGACCCCGCGCCGAAAAUGUACCGGGGCUAAACAUAUUACCGAAACUGUGGAUGAACCUCUUUAGAGGUUCGUGGUAGGAGAGCGUUCUAAGGGCGGUGAAGUCAGACCGGAAGGACUGGUGGAGCGCUUAGAAGUGAGAAUGCCGGUAUGAGUAGCGAAAGAAGGGUGAGAAUCCCUUCCACCGAAUAUCUAAGGUUUCCUGAGGAAGGCUCGUCCGCUCAGGGUUAGUCGGGACCUAAGCCGAGGCCGAUAGGCGUAGGCGAUGGACAACAGGUAGAGAUUCCUGUAC